CAGGGGUAAACCUGAGAAAUCCAAAAGAUCGAAUGGGGAGAUUCAUCCUUUGCGGCGUUGGCUUCCGUGUGUCACGCGAUGCUCGGGACUUGUCCUGUGGCACGCUGGCUCUGCGGUUUGUCCGGCGGCGCGGUGGUGCACUUCUCCCCUAGUAGGACGUCGCGACCCGUUGGGUGUCGGUCUACGGCCCGAAUCGUCGACUGUUGUAACACGUUCACGCGUGCACGCGACAGACGUUCGGUCGCCCGACCGGCUGCCCGGCGGUAUCGAAAGCUAACUUAAACUGGUAUAGAGCCGCAUUAAUUGCGUCCGACUCGUCGGCCGGCUCGUCUCGCUCGGAUUUACGGACCUUGUGCCGUUGUCGAGCGCUUGAUGGGCUACAAGGUCGUGCGAUGUACUCGGACUGGCUCGUUACAUUCGCAAGGAUGUACCGGUCAGCGACGCUACUGCUUUGGAUACUUUCAGGACCCGUCUU
RNAcentral lists this ribosomal RNA (475 nucleotides) under Cales sp. D3470. Its description in RNAcentral is "eukaryotic LSU rRNA". Lineage: Eukaryota; Metazoa; Arthropoda; Insecta; Hymenoptera; Calesidae. The record is from RNAcentral.